AGUGAACGCUGGCGGUAGGCCUAACACAUGCGAGUCGAACGGCAGCACAGUAAGAGCUUGCUCUUACGGGUGGCGAGUGGCGGACGGGUGAGGAAUACAUCGGAAUCUACUUUUUCGUGGGGGAUAACGUAGGGAAACUUACGCUAAUACCGCAUACGACCUACGGGUGAAAGCAGGGGAUCUUCGGACCUUGCGCGAUUGAAUGAGCCGAUGUCGGAUUAGCUAGUUGGCGGGGUAAAGGCCCACCAAGGCGACGAUCCGUAGCUGGUCUGAGAGGAUGAUCAGCCACACUGGAACUGAGACACGGUCCAGACUCCUACGGGAGGCAGCAGUGGGGAAUAUUGGACAAUGGGCGCAAGCCUGAUCCAACCAUACCGCGUGGGUGAAGAAGGCCUUCGGGCUGUAAAGCCCUUUUGUUGGGAAAGAAAAGCAGCAGGUUAAUACCCCGCUGUUCUGACGGUACCCAAAGAAUAAGCACCGGCUAACUUCGUG
This 492-nucleotide ribosomal RNA is filed under the name uncultured bacterium. Its description in RNAcentral is "partial 16S ribosomal RNA". It matches the Rfam family "Bacterial small subunit ribosomal RNA", at positions 29 to 507 of the family's 1533-position model. The record is from RNAcentral.